CUUGGUCAUUUAGAGGAAGUAAAAGUCGUAACAAGGUCUCCGUUGGUGAACCAGCGGAGGGAUCAUUACCGAGUUAUUACUCCAAACCCUUUGUGAACCUUACCUUUUUGUUGCUCGGCGCACCGCGGGCCGCGGCUUCGGCCCGUCCCGCAGCGCGCCAGAGGACCCAACUCUUCAAUUUAUAGCGUACCUUCUGAUUUACAAAACAAACAAGUUAAAACUUUCAACAACGGAUCUCUUGGUUCUGGCAUCGAUGAAGAACGCAGCGAAAUGCGAUAAGUAAUGCGAAUUGCAGAAUUCCAGUGAGUCAUCGAAUCUUUGAACGCACAUUGCGCCCUUUGGCAUUCCGAAGGGCAUGCCUGUCCGAGCGUCAUUAUCACCCCUCAAGCCCCCCGGCUUGGUGUUGGAGCCUCCGUUUCGGUACGGAUCUCUCAAAGACAAUGACGGCGGCCUCGUGGUUUCCCGGUACACUGAGCUUCCUAAUCGAGCACGUACUGAUGGAUCUCUGGGGCAGACGGUCUCCCUCCGCGAGGAGAAAAUUCUUCAAGGUUGACCUCGGAUCAGGUAGGAAUACCCGCUGAACUUAAGCAUAUCAAUAAGCGGAGGA
Molecule: ribosomal RNA, 607 nt
Filed under: uncultured fungus
Lineage: Eukaryota; Fungi
Description: eukaryotic LSU rRNA
Rfam family: 5.8S ribosomal RNA (bases 219-373)
Source: RNAcentral